Nannospalax galili (Upper Galilee mountains blind mole rat) is the source of this 237-nucleotide RNA transcript. It is a transcript of the gene named thymosin beta-10 pseudogene, with no coding region annotated. Lineage: Eukaryota; Metazoa; Chordata; Mammalia; Rodentia; Spalacidae. The transcript has a single exon. The record is from RefSeq and is a predicted model, not a curated record.
CUGCAGCAACUCGAGUAGGAGCACCAGGAGCGUGGGCUCAGAGUGGGACUCUAUGGAUUGUUGUAAGAAGAUGGCAGACAAGCCUGACAUGGGAGAAAUCACCAGCUUCGAUAAGGCCAAGCUGAAGAAAACCGAGAUGCAAGAAAAGAACACCCUGCCGACCAAAGAGACCAUUGAGCAGGAAAAGUGGAGUGAAAUUUCCUAAAAACCUAGACUGGAGGAUUCCCCCCACCCCCC